GAUGAACGCUGGCGGCGUGCCUAAUACAUGCAAGUCGAGCGAACGGACGAGAAGCUUGCUUCUCUAAUGUUAGCGGCGGACGGGUGAGUAACACGUGGAUAACCUACCUAUAAGACUGGGAUAACUUCGGGAAACCGGAGCUAAUACCGGAUAAUAUUUUGAACCGCAUGGUUCAAAAGUGAAAGACGGUCUUGCUGUCACUUAUAGAUGGAUCCGCGCUGCAUUAGCUAGUUGGUAAGGUAACGGCUUACCAAGGCAACGAUGCAUAGCCGACCUGAGAGGGUGAUCGGCCACACUGGAACUGAGACACGGUCCAGACUCCUACGGGAGGCAGCAGUAGGGAAUCUUCCGCAAUGGGCGAAAGCCUGACGGAGCAACGCCGCGUGAGUGACGAAGGUCUUCGGAUCGUAAAACUCUGUUAUUAGGGAAGAACAUAUGUGUAAGUAACUGUGCACAUCUUGACGGUACCUAAUCAGAAAGCCACGGCUAACUACGUG
This 497-nucleotide ribosomal RNA is filed under the name uncultured bacterium. RNAcentral's name for it is "partial 16S ribosomal RNA". It matches the Rfam family "Bacterial small subunit ribosomal RNA", at positions 28 to 507 of the family's 1533-position model. The record is from RNAcentral.